CUAAAUUUCCCUGAAGAAGAGCUUCAGACAAGUGAGUGGAGGCUGGAAGAGAUUAAUGUCAGCUGGAAAACUUCUGACAAAAUAUUUCUGCAUCAGGAAAGAUGUGGCAAGAUACUACAGUUCUUCACAACUCCAAAGCACUAGCUACAUUUAUGGAUACAGAUGCCCUCAGAGUUUCAACUGUUUCCCUCAUUCACCAAACCAGGCUACUCUUCACACAAGACUACCUGACUGA
RNAcentral lists this long non-coding RNA (235 nucleotides) under Anser brachyrhynchus (Pink-footed goose). Its description in RNAcentral is "lncRNA (ENSABRG00000004436.1)". Lineage: Eukaryota; Metazoa; Chordata; Aves; Anseriformes; Anatidae. The record is from RNAcentral.